UACGGAGGGUGCGAGCGUUAAUCGGAAUUACUGGGCGUAAAGCGUCCGUAGGCGGCUUGUUAAGUCUGAUGUGAAAGCCCUGGGCUUAACCUGGGAACGGCAUUGGAUACUGGCGAGCUAGAGUUCGGUAGAGGGUGGUGGAAUUCCCGGUGUAGCGGUGAAAUGGGUAGAGAUCGGGAGGAGCUCCGGUGGCGCAGGCGGCCACCUGGACCGAGACUGACGUUGUGGGGCGAAAGCGAGGGGAGCAAACAGG
RNAcentral lists this ribosomal RNA (253 nucleotides) under uncultured bacterium. RNAcentral describes it as "partial 16S ribosomal RNA". It matches the Rfam family "Bacterial small subunit ribosomal RNA", at positions 524 to 776 of the family's 1533-position model. The record is from RNAcentral.